UGUCAAAAUAAAUAAAUAAAUAUUGGUCAGCGGCGCAAUGGAUCGGCGGGCAGGGGGGGUUUCCAGGUACUCGGAAACCCCCCCUGUGUGCACAUAUGAGUCAGUCGGAUUGUGGGCGGAAUGGACUCGGCUUCCAGCUCUUGUGGAUCUCAUAUAAGGGCUCUUUGCUGCGUGCUCCAGGCGCCAUUUUGGUAACCUGCAGAGCGGAGAGAGGUGCUGCAGAGUGCUGAAUUGGUUUAUUUUGCUGUGGGAAAGUGCAAUACGGUGAACUAAACACCCAGCAAGCCUUCAUCCAGUCAGGACAGACAGACAGCAUUGGACAGAGGAGAGGGAGUUUUAGGACUGUUUUCUACACUUUUAGUUAUGUCCAGGGACAAGCACCCCCAUGCCCCAACCCCCCCACCCCCCUUUACACUCCUCAGAGGAAUCUUUGGACGGCGGCGAGGAGUGAGACCCAACACAGGAAGAAGAUAUGGCAAGCCAGCAGAGGACAUCGAAAGAAGGCGGAGACCAACACAAAAAAAAGAAAAAGACGAGACAGUUUUCACCUGCCAUUGCAGGACACACCCCUGAUUGCAAUAAAUACACCCAUAGGCGGAACUAGACACACCCCUUGGGCGGAGCUCGACACACCCCUGCACGGCGCAUUCUGCUGCCACCUGGAAUCUCCCUGAAACUAGUUUUCAAAAGUAGGCAAGUAUGACAUGUAUGAGUAAAUAAUAAAGACUUGUAUGAGUGUAACUUCCAAUUUGCUGCAAAAGUUUCCCUUUCAUAUAUUUCUCCUUAUUUUUUUAG
This is a long non-coding RNA of Pseudophryne corroboree (corroboree frog), 795 nucleotides long. RefSeq lists it as uncharacterized. The transcript is spliced from 3 exons. The record is from RefSeq and is a predicted model, not a curated record. Lineage: Eukaryota; Metazoa; Chordata; Amphibia; Anura; Myobatrachidae.